AUAUGAGAAUGUGAAUGAUCCAU
RNAcentral lists this non-coding RNA (23 nucleotides) under Arabidopsis thaliana (thale cress). The record is from RNAcentral. Lineage: Eukaryota; Viridiplantae; Streptophyta; Magnoliopsida; Brassicales; Brassicaceae.